UGGGGAAUAUUGGACAAUGGGGGCAACCCUGAUCCAGCCAUGCCGCGUGAGUGAUGACGGCCCUAGGGUUGUAAAGCUCUUUCACCGGUGAAGAUAAUGACGGUAACCGGAGAAGAAGCCCCGGCUAACUUCGUGCCAGCAGCCGCGGUAAUACGAAGGGGGCUAGCGUUGUUCGGAAUUACUGGGCGUAAAGCGCACGUAGGCGGACAUUUAAGUCAGGGGUGAAAUCCCGGGGCUCAACCCCGGAACUGCCUUUGAUACUGGGUGUCUUGAGUGUGGAAGAGGUGAGUGGAAUUGCGAGUGUAGAGGUGAAAUUCGUAGAUAUUCGCAGGAACACCAGUGGCGAAGGCGGCUCACUGGUCCACAACUGACGCUGAGGUGCGAAAGCGUGGGGAGCAAACAGG
Molecule: ribosomal RNA, 404 nt
Filed under: bacterium
Lineage: Bacteria
Description: partial 16S ribosomal RNA
Rfam family: Bacterial small subunit ribosomal RNA
Source: RNAcentral